CCAAUGCAGCCUUGAGGGGUUCCUCCUUGUGAUGGGGUAUACCUGUUGCACCCGGGACAGGAAGAUGCUAACCCUAUACUGUGGCCUGAGGAAUCCAUGCCCACUCGCCCCUGCUGGACAUGCUCCCACUGGAACCAUAGUAUGAAAAGGAGCAGCCCAGCUCAGUCUGCCCUGACCAGGGAGGAGAUAGGAGCUGUCGGACUCUCAGACUGCAGGGGCCAGGCACACCGAGACCCAGGAAAACCUACAGAAGCCCAUGAGAAGGAGUCAUUGGGCACUUCGCCGGCCAACUACCUCAGAGACCCAGAGGACCUGAGGACUACAGGGCGAGAAGACCAGGUGAAUCAGCACACACUAUGAACGAUUCACUUUGGAUGAUGGACAUCAAACCUGAUGUUACUACCAGAUGGUCGUAAGGUAACUUCAACAGAAUAGCUCAUAUGAGUAGAACUCUGACCUACAGAAAGAAAUUCAUGUGUUAACCCAAUGCACCAGACAGAACAUGUAUGUUUCUCAACUUUGUACUAAUUCUUCC
Molecule: long non-coding RNA, 535 nt
Organism: Mauremys mutica (yellowpond turtle)
Lineage: Eukaryota; Metazoa; Chordata; Testudines; Geoemydidae
Exons: 3
Source: RefSeq, a predicted model, not a curated record